AGAGUUUGAUCCUGGCUCAGGAUGAACGCUAGCGGGAGGCUUAACACAUGCAAGUCGAGGGGCAGCAUUACUUUCGGGUAGAUGGCGACCGGCGCACGGGUGAGUAACGCGUAUGCAACCUACCUUUUACAGAGGGAUAGCCCAGAGAAAUUUGGAUUAAUACCUCAUAGUACUAUUUUUUCGCAUGAUAAGAUAGUUAAAGUUUCGGCGGUAAAAGAUGGGCAUGCGUGACAUUAGAUUGUUGGCGGGGUAACGGCCCACCAAGUCUGCGAUGUCUAGGGGUUCUGAGAGGAUGAUCCCCCACACUGGUACUGAGACACGGACCAGACUCCUACGGGAGGCAGCAGUGAGGAAUAUUGGUCAAUGGACGCAAGUCUGAACCAGCCAUCCCGCGUGAAGGAUGACGGUCCUAUGGAUUGUAAACUUCUUUUAUGUACCAAGAAUGUGCCUUACGUGUAAGGUUUUGACGGUAGUACGUGAAUAAGCAUCGGCUAACUCCGUGCCAGCAGCCGCGGUAAUACGGAGGAUGCGAGCGUUAUCCGGAUUCAUUGGGUUUAAAGGGUGCGUAGGCGGCUUAUUAAGUCAGUGGUGAAAUCCUGCGGCUCAACCGUAGAACUGCCAUUGAAACUGAUAAGCUUGAAUAUAGUUGAGGUAGGCGGAAUGAGUAGUGUAGCGGUGAAAUGCUUAGAGAUUACUCAGAACACCGAUUGCGAAGGCAGCUUACUAAACUAUUAUUGACGCUGAGGCACGAAAGCGUGGGGAGCGAACAGGAUUAGAUACCGUGGUAGUCCCCGUAAACGAUGUUCACUCGCUGCUUGCGAUACAUAGUAAGUGGCCAAGCGAAAGCAUUAAGUGAACCACCUGGGGAGUACGUCGGCAACGGUGAAACUCAAAGGAAUUGACGGGGGCCCGCACAAGCGGAGGAACAUGUGGUUUAAUUCGAUGAUACGCGAGGAACCUUACCUGGGCUUAAAUGUAGAUUGCAUGUGGUGGAAACACCCUUCCCUUCGGGGCUAUCUACAAGGUGCUGCAUGGUUGUCGUCAGCUCGUGCCGUGAGGUGUCGGGUUAAGUCCCAUAACGAGCGCAACCCCUAUCGUUAGUUGCCAUCAGGUUAAGCUGGGGACUCUAACGAGACUGCCACCGUAAGGUGAGAGGAAGGUGGGGAUGACGUCAAAUCAGCACGGCCCUUAUGUCCAGGGCUACACACGUGUUACAAUGGCAGGUACAAAGGGCAGCUACACCGUGAGGUGAUGCUAAUCUCUAAAGCCUGUCUCAGUUCGGAUCGGAGUCUGCAACUCGACUCCGUGAAGUUGGAUUCGCUAGUAAUCGCGUAUCAGCAAUGACGCGGUGAAUACGUUCCCGGGCCUUGUACACACCGCCCGUCAAACCAUGGAAGCUGGGGGGACCUGAAGUCUGUCACCGUAAGGAGCGGCCUAGGGUAAAACCGGUAACUGGGGUUAAGUCGUGACAAGGUA
This 1476-nucleotide ribosomal RNA is filed under the name metagenome. RNAcentral describes it as "bacterial SSU rRNA". It matches the Rfam family "Bacterial small subunit ribosomal RNA". The record is from RNAcentral.